RNAcentral lists this ribosomal RNA (483 nucleotides) under uncultured bacterium. RNAcentral's name for it is "partial 16S ribosomal RNA". It matches the Rfam family "Bacterial small subunit ribosomal RNA", at positions 30 to 506 of the family's 1533-position model. The record is from RNAcentral.
AUUGAACGCUGGCGGCAGGCCUAACACAUGCAAGUCGAGCGGAUGAAGGGAGCUUGCUCCUGGAUUCAGCGGCGGACGGGUGAGUAAUGCCUAGGAAUCUGCCUGGUAGUGGGGGAUAACGUCCGGAAACGGGCGCUAAUACCGCAUACGUCCUGAGGGAGAAAGUGGGGGAUCUUCGGACCUCACGCUAUCAGAUGAGCCUAGGUCGGAUUAGCUAGUUGGUGGGGUAAAGGCCUACCAAGGCGACGAUCCGUAACUGGUCUGAGAGGAUGAUCAGUCACACUGGAACUGAGACACGGUCCAGACUCCUACGGGAGGCAGCAGUGGGGAAUAUUGGACAAUGGGCGAAAGCCUGAUCCAGCCAAGCCGCGUGUGUGAAGAAGGUCUUCGGAUUGUAAAGCACUUUAAGUUGGGAGGAAGGGCAGUAAGUUAAUACCUUGCUGUUUUGACGUUACCAACAGAAUAAGCACCGGCGAACUUCGG